RNAcentral lists this transfer RNA (87 nucleotides) under Bombardia bombarda. RNAcentral's name for it is "tRNA-Tyr". Lineage: Eukaryota; Fungi; Ascomycota; Sordariomycetes; Sordariales; Lasiosphaeriaceae. The record is from RNAcentral.
CUCCUUGUGGUGUAGUUGGCUAUCACGUUCGGCUGUAAUUGGUUAAUCGUAACCGAAAGGUCACCGGCUCGAUUCCGGUCGGGGAGA